RNAcentral lists this ribosomal RNA (497 nucleotides) under uncultured bacterium. RNAcentral describes it as "partial 16S ribosomal RNA". It matches the Rfam family "Bacterial small subunit ribosomal RNA", at positions 28 to 507 of the family's 1533-position model. The record is from RNAcentral.
GAUGAACGCUGGCGGCGUGCCUAAUACAUGCAAGUCGAGCGAACGGACGAGAAUCUUGCUUCUCUGAUGUUAGCGGCGGACGGGUGAGUAACACGUGGAUAACCUACCUAUAAGACUGGGAUAACUUCGGGAAACCGUAGCUAAUACCGGAUAAUAUUUUGAACCGCAUGGUUCAAAAGUGAAAGACGGUCUUGCUGUCACUUAUAGAUGGAUCCGCGCUGCAUUAGCUAGUUGGUAAGGUAACGGCUUACCAAGGCAACGAUGCAUAGCCGACCUGAGAGGGUGAUCGGCCACACUGGAACUGAGACACGGUCCAGACUCCUACGGGAGGCAGCAGUAGGGAAUCUUCCGCAAUGGGCGAAAGCCUGACGGAGCAACGCCGCGUGAGUGAUGAAGGUCUUCGGAUCGUAAAACUCUGUUAUUAGGGAAGAACAUAUGUGUAAGUAACUGUGCACAUCGUGACGGUACCUAAUCAGAAAGCCACGGCUAACUACGUG